UACGAAGGUGGCUAGCGUUGUUCGGAAUCACUGGGCGUAAAGCGCAUGCAGGCGGGUCGUUAAGUUUGGGGUGAAAUCCCGAGGCUCAACCUCGGAACUGCCUCUAAUACUGGCGAUCUUGAGUCCGGGAGAGGUGAGUGGAACUGCGAGUGUAGAGGUGAAAUGCGUAGAUAUUCGCAAGAACACCAGUGGCGAAGGCGGCUCACUGGCCCGGUACUGACGCUCAGGUGCGAAAGCGUGGGGAGCAAACGGG
RNAcentral lists this ribosomal RNA (253 nucleotides) under uncultured bacterium. RNAcentral's name for it is "partial 16S ribosomal RNA". It matches the Rfam family "Bacterial small subunit ribosomal RNA", at positions 524 to 776 of the family's 1533-position model. The record is from RNAcentral.